RNAcentral lists this microRNA precursor (180 nucleotides) under Sorghum bicolor (sorghum). RNAcentral's name for it is "miR437r stem-loop (sbi-MIR437r)". Its record names the gene sbi-MIR437r. Lineage: Eukaryota; Viridiplantae; Streptophyta; Magnoliopsida; Poales; Poaceae. The record is from miRBase by way of RNAcentral.
AGUAAAACUUCUCUUAUUUUGACCAAGUCUAUAGAAAAAUGUACUAAUAUUUACAACAUCAAAUUAGUUUUAUUCAAUUCACCAUGCAAUGUGUUGGAGAGUGAACUUAUUUGGUAUUACAGUAUAGGUGCCAAUGUAUAUUUCUAUAAACUUGGCCAAAGUUAGAGAAGUUUGACUUAG